GACGAACGCUGGCGGCGUGCUUAACACAUGCAAGUCGAACGGAAAGGCGCUGCUCUUGUGGGGUGCUCGAGUGGCGAACGGGUGAGUAACACGUGAGUAACCUGCCCUUGUCUUUGGGAUAACUUCAGGAAACUGGGGCUAAUACCGGAUAGGAGCUCCUGCUGCAUGGUGGUGGUUGGAAAGUUUCGGCGGUUGGGGCUGGACUCGCGGCUUAUCAGCUUGUUGGUGGGGUAGUGGCUUACCAAGGCUUUGACGGGUAGCCGGCAUGAGAGGGUGACCGGGGUCAUGGGGACUGAGAUACGGACCAGUCUCCUACGGGAGGCAGAAGGGGGGUAUAUUGCAGAAUGGGCGGAAGCCUGAUGCAGCAGCGCCGCGUGCGGGAUGACGGCCUUCGGGGUGUAAACCGCUUUCGCCUGUGACGAAGCGUGAGUGACGGUAAUGGGUAAAGAAGCACCGGCUAACUACGUG
Molecule: ribosomal RNA, 468 nt
Filed under: uncultured bacterium
Lineage: Bacteria
Description: partial 16S ribosomal RNA
Rfam family: Bacterial small subunit ribosomal RNA
Source: RNAcentral